Molecule: ribosomal RNA, 1266 nt
Filed under: Triticum aestivum (bread wheat)
Lineage: Eukaryota; Viridiplantae; Streptophyta; Magnoliopsida; Poales; Poaceae
Description: partial small subunit ribosomal RNA
Source: RNAcentral
AUGGGGCGCCAGCAGGCAGUCAAGUCACGCGAUGUACACCCUCUAGUGCCACCAGGAUUUAUCGAAAAUCUUGGGGUAUCGGAUGGAAUAUGCCUCAUAGCACUGACGUGCAUACUGGCCAGCUGUCUAGUCAAUUUCCAAGUGUCUCAAUUAAGCGAUGAUGGUUUUACCAACAAAGAAUAUAGUGAGUUGGUAACUGGCACAAUGGAGGUUGCCAUCUCCGUCCCAUAUAUAGUUGUGAAAUCGCACGAGUGCUUGUCCAAUCUGCGGGUGCAGAAGUCAUGGAUCACAUGCCGUCCUAAUGUCCAGAUUUUCAGAGACACAUUCAUUCUUGUGCUGAUAGCUUACGUGAUAUUAGUGGACAUCAGCUUGAGCUUCGCCUGGCUGGCCAUCUUUCCUGCCAUAGCCCUUGUUUUCAUACGAGCGAUGCACCUCAAGUUCAGUCGGCGUACAGGGGGCAGCAGUCGUAAAGUUAAUCAAGGAUCUUCUAACGUCGCUGAGACUAAAAUGAAAACUAUGGAGGUUGGGAUCAUUGUGAUGAUGACGCUGGGGGCGCUACUGCUUAUGGACCAGCUUCCAGACCAUGCAGCUGCCCAGUUCACCAUCUCACAGUUCCUCCUGUUCCUAAGCUGCACGGUGGCGGCAUUGACGCGCAUGGUGAUGAAGCUGCCCGCUGGCGCCUCACCGGGCAUAGCACUGGCGACGGAGAUGCUCCACAAGACCUUGCUUCUCCUCCUGCUGGCGACGGCGCACACCACGGCCGCAGAGUGGCUGGGCGAGGAUGUUGUUCUGCUAUGCUUGCCGGAGGUCAUCCCUGUGCUUCUCUGGUUCAGCCUCCAUCUCGACCGUAAACCAGGAAGCAGCUCCAUCAUCAGCGUUGACAAGUUGAAACCACACAUAAAUUGGUUCAUCUUCCUCGGUGCAAUGGUGGUAGCUCCUCCUUUUGCUUACCUGGCCAACUCCAUGGAUGAAGUUGGGCUCUCCGGCUGGUCUACGACAUUCCAGGUGUCAUGUGGCGUCUCAGGGAUUCUGAGCUACUACCUUGUGUUCAUGCUAAGUCACUGGCCGAAGAAACAAGUAGCAGCUGCUGGCAAGGAUGGUGGGGCUUCCGGUAUGCUCAAAUUAUGGGCAUACGCUUUACUCAUAGCGGCGGCUGCGUCCCUGCUGCUCAGGUGUCUGGUUUCUGCCCGGCUUGGUCUGCAACUACCACUGCAUGCAACGGUUAUAUAUGUUAGUAAUGCUUUGGGUUUUAACUACUCAAAUUAG